RNAcentral lists this ribosomal RNA (449 nucleotides) under uncultured bacterium. RNAcentral's name for it is "partial 16S ribosomal RNA". It matches the Rfam family "Bacterial small subunit ribosomal RNA", at positions 29 to 523 of the family's 1533-position model. The record is from RNAcentral.
AACGAACGCUGGCGGCAGGCCUAAAACAUGCAAGUCGAACGACGUAGCAAUACAUAGUGGCGCACGGGUGCGUAACGCGUGGGAAUAUGCCCUUCACUACGGAACAACGUCGGGAAACUGACGCUAAUACCGUAUAAUGACUCCGGUCCAAAGAUUUAUCGGUGAAGGAUUAGCCCGCGUCUGAUUAGGUAGUUGGUGAGGUAACGGCUCACCAAGCCGACGAUCAGUAGCUGGUCUGAGAGGAUGAUCAGCCACACUGGAACUGAGACACGGUCCAGACUCCUACGGGAGGCAGCAGUUAGGAAUAUUGGACAAUGGGGGAAACCCUGAUCCAGCCAUGCCGCGUGAGUGAAGAAGGCCUUAGGGUUGUAAAGCUCUUUCGUCUGUGAAGAUAAUGACAGUAGCAGAAGAAGAAGCCCCGGCUAAAUUCGUGCCAGCAGCCGCCGUAA